GACAAUAUAUAUAUGAAAGCAUUGAUUUUCUUUCCUUCAAUCAUCUGGUUGGAUCAAUCUUCUUUCCUGCACAUUGAAGUAGUUUCUUGCACAUAAAAACUAGAUGGCCUUUUCAACUUUACAAUAUAAUGUUGGCAUUUAGUGUGAACCUUCAAUUUCGAACUGUCAUUGGCAGUUUGGCAACAAAAGUGCUCUACAAAUAUUUGUCAUUGUUACGGCAGUAUCAUCAACCAAUUUGCAUUUGAAACAAAGCAUCUAGAACCAUAGGCAGAUAAUUUGUUCUUGUAGACAAGAAAAUUGAUCCCAAUAAGGGAA
Molecule: long non-coding RNA, 315 nt
Filed under: Elaeis guineensis (African oil palm)
Lineage: Eukaryota; Viridiplantae; Streptophyta; Magnoliopsida; Arecales; Arecaceae
Description: long non-coding RNA (EGUI_LNC063746)
Source: RNAcentral